This 505-nucleotide ribosomal RNA is filed under the name Cloeon smaeleni. RNAcentral's name for it is "partial 16S ribosomal RNA". It matches the Rfam family "Bacterial large subunit ribosomal RNA", at positions 1829 to 2603 of the family's 2925-position model. The record is from RNAcentral. Lineage: Eukaryota; Metazoa; Arthropoda; Insecta; Ephemeroptera; Baetidae.
CAUCGCCUGAGGUUUGUAUCUCAGGUACUGCCUGCCCAAUGAAUAUUUAAUGGCCGCAGUAUUUUGACUGUGCAAAGGUAGCAUAAUCAUUUGUCUCUUAAUUGGAGGCUGGUAUGAAUGGCGUAACGUGGGCCUACUAUACAUCUAACAAAUCUAAAUUUAAUCUAUAAGUCAAAAAGCUUAUAUUACACCGCAGGACGAGAAGACCCCGUAGAUCUUUAUAAUCAUUUUAAUAAUUAAUAUGGCAUUUUAAUUAUUUAUAUAAAAUAAUUUAUUUGGUUGGGGCGACAUGAAGCUUAUAAACGCUUUAAUUAAAAACUCUGAUGAGAGGAUUCCUGACCCGGUUCACCGACUACAAGAACAAGUUACCUCGGGGAUAACAGCGUAAUCUAUUUUAAGAGUUCUUAUCAACAAAUAGGGUUGCGACCUCGAUGUUGGAUUAGGGUGUAGCUAAAGUGCAGUAGCUUUAAGCUAGGGUCUGUUCGACCUUUAAACCCCUACAUGA